CCUACGGGAGGCAGCAGUGGGGAAUUUUGGACAAUGGGCGCAAGCCUGAUCCAGCAAUGCCGCGUGCAGGAUGAAGGCCUUCGGGUUGUAAACUGCUUUUGUACGGAACGAAACGGUUCGCUUUAAUACAGUGGGCUAAUGACGGUACCGUAAGAAUAAGCACCGGCUAACUACGUGCCAGCAGCCGCGGUAAUACGUAGGGUGCAAGCGUUAAUCGGAAUUACUGGGCGUAAAGCGUGCGCAGGCGGUUAUAUAAGACAGAUGUGAAAUCCCCGGGCUCAACCUGGGACCUGCAUUUGUGACUGUAUGGCUAGAGUACGGUAGAGGGGGAUGGAAUUCCGCGUGUAGCAGUGAAAUGCGUAGAUAUGCGGAGGAACACCGAUGGCGAAGGCAAUCCCCUGGACCUGUACUGACGCUCAUGCACGAAAGCGUGGGGAGCAAACAGGAUUAGAUACCCUGGUAGUCCACGCCCUAAACGAUGUCAACUGGUUNUUGGGUCUUCACUGACUCAGUAACGAAGCUAACGNGNGAGUGACGCGNGGAGACGCGCGAGUGACGUACAGAGAGUGACGCGNGAGAGNGCGAGCGACGACGAGGGAGGAGG
This 604-nucleotide ribosomal RNA is filed under the name uncultured bacterium. RNAcentral's name for it is "bacterial SSU rRNA". The stretch from base 1 to 539 matches the Rfam family "Bacterial small subunit ribosomal RNA", at positions 338 to 873 of the family's 1533-position model. The record is from RNAcentral.